RNAcentral lists this long non-coding RNA (398 nucleotides) under Pavo cristatus (Indian peafowl). Its description in RNAcentral is "lncRNA (ENSPSTG00000014505.1)". Lineage: Eukaryota; Metazoa; Chordata; Aves; Galliformes; Phasianidae. The record is from RNAcentral.
CCAAAACUGAAGCACAAAUUACACACCCAAGAGAAUGUAAAUAGGAGAACAAGAUAAUACAUGAGGUCUCAGAACACAAUCGCAAUAAGGAACUCUGACUGCAAUGUUACAGGAAGGGUGAAAAGGGAGAUUUGGGUGUGAUGGGAUUGCCAGGUACCAGAGGACCAAUGGGCUCCAAGGGUUUUCCAGGAACUAGAGGAGAAAAGGGUUCCAGAGGGGACAGGGGUGACAAAGGAGUCAAAGGAGACCAGGUACUUUUCCAGAUGGCUGUGAGUUUUAGCUGAAUGAGCAGGUAAACACUGAGGUAUUUCUGAUCGCAACAAAGAAGGGUGACAUGGAGUCAUGUUCCUGGGAUGGUAAGAAGGCAGUGGUCCCACAUUAUGUGGUCCUCUGUGUCC